This is a microRNA precursor of Erinaceus europaeus (western European hedgehog), 104 nucleotides long. The record is from Ensembl. Lineage: Eukaryota; Metazoa; Chordata; Mammalia; Eulipotyphla; Erinaceidae.
CGCCUGCACCACUGCCUCCCACAGUUUUUGGCAAUGGUAGAACUCACACUGGUGAGGUAAUGGGAUCCGGUGGUUCUAGACUUGCCAACUACGGUGUGAGGCCU